AUUGAACGCUGGCGGCAUGCUUUACACAUGCAAGUCGAACGGUAACAGGCCUUCGGGUGCUGACGAGUGGCGAACGGGUGAGUAAUGCAUCGGAACGUACCCAGAGGUGGGGGAUAACGCAGCGAAAGCUGUGCUAAUACCGCAUGUGAUCUGAGGAUGAAAGCGGGGGACCGAGCAGCAAUGUUUGGCCUCGCGCCUUUGGAGCGGCCGACGUCGGAUUAGCUAGUUGGUGGGGUAAAGGCCUACCAAGGCGACGAUCCGUAGCUGGUCUGAGAGGACGACCAGCCACACUGGGACUGAGACACGGCCCAGACUCCUACGGGAGGCAGCAGUGGGGAAUUUUGGACAAUGGGCGCAAGCCUGAUCCAGCAAUGCCGCGUGCGGGAAGAAGGCCUUCGGGUUGUAAACCGCUUUUGGCAGGAACGAAACGGUGUCCGCUAAUACCGGGCGCUAAUGACGGUACCUGCAGAAUAAGCACCGGCUAACUACGUG
RNAcentral lists this ribosomal RNA (492 nucleotides) under uncultured bacterium. RNAcentral describes it as "partial 16S ribosomal RNA". It matches the Rfam family "Bacterial small subunit ribosomal RNA", at positions 29 to 507 of the family's 1533-position model. The record is from RNAcentral.